CCAAAGGCUCUUUUAAGAGCCACCCCCCAGAGCUCAGCAGAGGGGCU
This is a non-coding RNA of Anas platyrhynchos (mallard), 47 nucleotides long. The record is from Rfam. Lineage: Eukaryota; Metazoa; Chordata; Aves; Anseriformes; Anatidae.